GAUGAACGCUGGCGGCGUGCCUAAUACAUGCAAGUCGAGUGAACGGACGAGAAGCUUGCUUUUCUGAUGUUAGCGGCGGACGGGUGAGUAACACGUGGAUAACCUACCUAUAAGACUGGGAUAACUUCGGGAAACCAGAGCUAAUACCGGAUAAUAUUUUGAACCGCAUGGUUCAAAAGUGAAAGACGGUCUUGCUGUCACUUAUAGAUGGAUCCGCGCUGCAUUAGCUAGUUGGUAAGGUAACGGCUUACCAAGGCAACGAUGCAUAGCCGACCUGAGAGGGUGAUCGGCCACACUGGAACUGAGACACGGUCCAGACUCCUACGGGAGGCAGCAGUAGGGAAUCUUCCGCAAAGGGCGAAAGCCUGACGGAGCAACGCCGCGUGAGUGAUGAAGGUCUUCGGAUCGUAAAACUCUGUUAUUAGGGAAGAACAUAUGUGUAAGUAACUGUGCACAUCUUGACGGUACCUAAUCAGAAAGCCACGGCUAACUACGUG
Molecule: ribosomal RNA, 497 nt
Filed under: uncultured bacterium
Lineage: Bacteria
Description: partial 16S ribosomal RNA
Rfam family: Bacterial small subunit ribosomal RNA
Source: RNAcentral